UAAAAUAACUUGUAAUUUAGGUAAUAUGCUGAUAUGUCUUAAUGUUCUAUCCAAUUAAUAUAAUCUAUGUAUCAAUUUUGUGUCAUUGUUGGCUCUAUUUAAGGACAAGAAGAUAAGAGAUCUUAAUGGCAACUGGCGGGCGAUAGGGCGUCAGGGAGGUGAUUGGGUCCAGGAGGCAUGGGAACGCACCAUUGCAGUGUAGAAAAAAAAUCCCUUAGGUGGAACAAUUCGCACGUCACCCACCAAUGGCACCGACUGCUCCUUUGAGCGCCUCGAUCCCGGCAAGGCGGG
Fundulus heteroclitus (mummichog) is the source of this 291-nucleotide long non-coding RNA. RefSeq lists it as uncharacterized. The transcript has 2 exons. Lineage: Eukaryota; Metazoa; Chordata; Actinopteri; Cyprinodontiformes; Fundulidae. The record is from RefSeq and is a predicted model, not a curated record.